This 253-nucleotide ribosomal RNA is filed under the name uncultured bacterium. RNAcentral describes it as "partial 16S ribosomal RNA". It matches the Rfam family "Bacterial small subunit ribosomal RNA", at positions 524 to 776 of the family's 1533-position model. The record is from RNAcentral.
UACGUAGGGUGCAAGCGUUGUCCGGAAUUAUUGGGCGUAAAGAGCUCGUAGGCGGUUUGUUGCGUCGGCUGUGAAAUCCCGAGGCUCAACCUCGGGUCUGCAGUCGAUACGAGCAAACUAGAGUGUUGCAGGGGAGACUGGAAUUCCUGGUGUAGCGGUGAAAUGCGCAGAUAUCAGGAGGAACACCGGUGGCGAAGGCGGGUCUCUGGACAACAACUGACGCUGAGGAGCGAAAGCGUGGGGAGCGAACAGG